AAAAAAAGAUUUUUUUUUGUCAAAGAAAAAUCCCAAUUUUUUUUAAAAUAAAAAAAACAAAACUAACAAUGUUAAAAAUUAAUAAAUACGAUGAAUCAAAAACAAAAAAGAAAGAAAUUAACGAUACAUAGAAAGUUUCUAGAAACAAACUGAACCCUUCUUCUUCGUGGAAGUUCAAUACACAACAAUCUUCUUCUUCUUCUUCUUCACUGCAAUUCAUCACCUUUUUCACUGCACCUUCAUCACAUUUGAACCCUUCAUCACCUUCGAAAUUGGUAAAGCUUGAAACCCUAACUUUCAUAGAAAUUAAACUGCUUCACUCAAACUUGAAAGAAUGAACCGUUCCCUUCGCUGCAAACCUGGGGGUCCUGCUCCUCUAAGCGGGGACAAUUCAAGAAGAAUUAAGAGACGAACCAUUCCCUUCACUCAUUCAUGUAUGUAAACUUUAAACCCUAACUUUUUAUUUUAUUUGUAGUGA
RNAcentral lists this long non-coding RNA (478 nucleotides) under Trifolium pratense (red clover). RNAcentral's name for it is "long non-coding RNA (TPRA_LNC009993)". The record is from RNAcentral. Lineage: Eukaryota; Viridiplantae; Streptophyta; Magnoliopsida; Fabales; Fabaceae.